CACUCAACGAGACACAGGUGAAGACAAUGACCGACACAGGGCAAAAUCAAACAAACAAGGGGGCACGGCUGUGACAUGUGUAACUUCACUUCUAUUAGAAAGAAGUACUUGAACGACAUUAAGGUUGGAGGGAAGGGCAGAUACAGUAUUGGACUUUACACAGAAGGUGGCUUAUGCACUGUCACAAGACAAAAGUCCUUUAUCCGUGUGAAUGGAAUAUCUGUAAAAAUAUGAAGACAUUAAUUUGAACAACUUUGAUUAGAGUCUUUGGAUUGAGGCGUUGUUCCUAAGUUGCUCAUAACCAGUUGCAAAUGAAGCGACUACUGUUGAGACAGUGUGAGCAUGGUUUUUAUUAUCCCUUUAUGAUCAAAUCUAUCCAACUCUGUCUGGAAGAUAGCCAGACGAAGUUACGUCCAUGGGGACUGUUUAAAGUUGACAUGAGAAGCUCCAUUAAAGAAGCGAUGCUGUCGUGCCUUAUCGCCAAAACAGAUGAAUGAUUUCCUGCCCUCUCCUGGCAUCGGUCCAACAUUGGAGGCGUGGAGACUGGCACCAAGACAACAGUCGCUACAGUUGGUAGAGGAAGGAAACUCCUUAUAUGGGUACUCAUUGUGUUAAAUGGAAGCCACACUUGGAUCCAGGCUUUGUCUGGGUGCACACAGAUUCUGGGUGAAGAUCCAAGGGACAGUGAGGGGCCGGAACUUAGAGCGUGGGAACGUUAGUCCGGAACCGGAAUCGAUGGGAAAGCUGUUAGGAAAACAUACUGCAGCUCAUCCUAAUCAAAGAAGGAGAGAGAGGGAGGAGAGAACAAUGAGGGCUCGUGGAAAAGCUGAGGAGAGAAUGGAGAUGAGGAUGCAAUCAUGGAACUCGUGGCAGCAGUCAUGAUAUGAUGAUUCAGUGACAAUAAGGUACAUAGGAUUGUAAUUAGGUCACCAAUAUGGUUUAACCUCAAUUCAGUUUGAGAAUUAACCAAAAUAUGGGUCACCAAAUGCUGUCCAUUUUGUACGCUGGUACCACAUUUACCUAAACGCAGUGGCCAGCAGUGGGGCCUAGGGAUGGGGCGAAACAACUAAUUUCACCAAAAUAAUUGAGUGAUUAAGUUCUCUGCUGAUGCCAAAACAAUCAGUGGCAUGUAUGAACUUUCCUUUCCCAGCCAGCCUGCCAACCAACUCGCCUCACUGUCACAGUUCUGGUCCGAGCCACGCAUGAAUGUGGAAUGCAUUACUCACUCCACACGCACUCUGUGUUUCCGGGGUUCAGCCAGGAGGAAACACAACUAUCACCCUCCACUUUCUUUUAUGAUCAUAAUCCAAGGGAGAAACAGCUGACAGGCAGGAACCAAUGGGAGGCCAAAUGGUUGUUCCACAUUCUAUGUGCUUUGGGAGAGAGUUGAGUCUCCCAACCGACUUUAUUACAUGUGUGUAAAACGGAAAUUCUUCAUUCCUAAAUUUCAGCCCACAGUCUUACUCAUGUGGGUGGGGGUAAAUAGUUUAAAUGUGUGUGUAAAAGAGGCAUGCCUCAGAUGGUAAAUGGAAAGUAGAACCUCCAAGACUGUAGUGUACACUAGGGCAAACAUUUCUCACUUUAGUCAGAGAGAUGACAUUGAAUAGUAAUACUAUUCUUCUUAUUUACCCAUUAAUAGCCAACAUUUUUACAAAAUUGCUUAAAAAAAUAUUAUCUAGUGUAUAUACGUAUAUUACUUACACUUGGGCUAUUUCCAAAUCAAAAGCUUACAUUUACUCAGCCAUUCAAUACUGAACAAACUGAACAGUACUGUAGGCCAAAGAGCAAUGAGACAGAACCCAAAAAAAAAAAAAAAACAUUUAUUUUUAU
Molecule: long non-coding RNA, 1830 nt
Organism: Osmerus eperlanus (European smelt)
Lineage: Eukaryota; Metazoa; Chordata; Actinopteri; Osmeriformes; Osmeridae
Exons: 3
Source: RefSeq, a predicted model, not a curated record